GCUGGGUGCGGUGGUGCACGCCUGUAAUCCCAGUGGCUCAGGAGGCUGAGGCAGGAGGAUGGUGAGUUCAAAGCCAGCCUCCAUAACUGUGAGACCCUGUCUCUA
Molecule: small RNA, 105 nt
Filed under: Marmota monax (woodchuck)
Lineage: Eukaryota; Metazoa; Chordata; Mammalia; Rodentia; Sciuridae
Source: RNAcentral